This 7050-nucleotide long non-coding RNA is filed under the name Gossypium barbadense (sea-island cotton). Its description in RNAcentral is "long non-coding RNA (GBAR_LNC022664)". Lineage: Eukaryota; Viridiplantae; Streptophyta; Magnoliopsida; Malvales; Malvaceae. The record is from RNAcentral.
UUGUCGAAGGCACACUUUAUGUCGGCUUCGUUACGGCGAACCCAGACAACCGUCUCUUCACUAAAAUCCUAAACCCUGGAGAUGUUUUUGUUUUCCCCUUUGGUAUGGUUCAUUUCCAGUUCAACAUAGGAAAAACUGCGGCGGUUGCCUUUGCUGGUCUCAGCAGCCAAAAUGCUGGGGUUAUCACCAUAGCUAACGCAGUGUUUGGCUCAAACCCACCGAUCAACCCAGAUGUUUUGGCCAAGGCGUUCCAGUUGAACAAGAAUGUGGUUAAGUAUCUUCAGUCUCGGUUCUAAUGGGAUUAACAACUACUUUAAGAGUCAAAUCAAAACCCCAAAAGUUUGUUUGCUUGUUUGAAACAAUGUUUGCAUGCAUUUUCUAAAUCAAGUCAUACUAUUCUGCUAAGUAUCAUGUAAUAAACAGAGAGGUUUAAAUUUACUUCUCCAGUCUCCUCUCUUGACAUUAUCCUUUCAGAAAUAAGACCAGAAUUUGUAGUGCUCUCGGAUUUAAAUUACGACCACAAUCAAGGGCACCAAUGCAUAUGUAGUUCAUGUUGUUAUUGUUGUAUUUAUGUCAUGCUAGCCCUACUUGCUUGUAUUCCUUGUUAGUUGGACUUGAAUGCAAAUGUUGGAAUUUCUUCAUCUUGAGUUACGAUGAGAUAACAAAUUGAUCAAGAAAUUGCUUGAAAUAUAUAUUUUUAAAAUAAUAAGUUGGAUGAGAUCCAUCUAUAUAUCUCAAAGUGAAACCAAAUUGGAAUGAAGGGUUGAGCCAAUUAUAUAAAAAUUAAUGAGAUGUGUGACUCAUAUUUUUUUCUUCCCCUAUAUAUCUUAUUUAAGUGUUGGAUAGCCCAUCAAAAGUAGACUCAUUUAUCAAAUGGUUUUACCUUAAGGCCCAAACUUCAUAUUUUGAUAAUAUAAAAUAUUUUAAUAUAAUAAAAAUAAUUUAAAUUCAAAUUUGAUGAUAAAAUUUAGCUUGGGGUGUGUUUGGUUAUUUUUAAUAUUCGAUUGGGUUUUCUAAAAUUCGGAAUGCACUUAAAGUAUUUAGAAAAAAAAACCUUCAAUUAGUUUUCUUUCCCGAUUAGUUUAUUGGAUUCGUGUAAACUCUUUCGUAAUUUCAUUAUCUUUUCCUUUAAAUUUAAAGAAUCCAUUGACAGGAGCUUUCAAAUUUAACGAUUUAAAAGUUUACCAAUUAGAAUGUUUGAAGAUAUAAUCUUUAACAACAAAUUUUUUUUUUGAUGAAUGAUAAAAUUCAUUAAUUCAAGAAUGCAGUUAAAUUGCUAUAAAGGAAAAAAAAACACUGUAUAGUGUUAUACAAACAAAUUAACGAAUGAUACCCCAAGCACAAAGUGAAGCAUUAACAGGACCAGUUCUAUUGAUUGGUCUUCCUCCUAAGCGAGCCUGCACAAUCUCUUUAAUCUGCACCAAGACAGCAUUUUCAGUCUAGAAAGAUGAACCAAAAUACAUCUUGUUCCUCUGUCUCCAUAUCACAUACAAAUAUGCACUCCAAGCAAGCUUGAGUAUAGCAACAAGCGAAGACUUCCUUUAAGUUUCAAUAUCGCCUAAGCUAACUCUUACCUCCAAAUUCUCACAACCCUAUGAAUGGAGCAAAGGCGCAAAAUUGAUUGCCACACCUUCCUUGAAAAAUUGCACUAAAAGAAAAUGUGAUCACAUCUCUCUGUAGCUUCCAUACAGAAAAAGCAACAAGUAUCAACCGAAAUCCCAAAAGCAAGCAAAUGAUCCCGAGUUGGGAGUUUAUUAAGAAUGACCAUCCAAGCAAUAAGAGAAUGUUAUGUAAAGGGAACCAUAACAAAUGGUUUCAUUCCACCUUCAUACCACGAGUUCUAAUUGCCUCCCAUAGUUGAGAAGUACUCACUUUAGCAUUAGCAAAUUGUUGAGAAGUGACAGCAACCAAAGUGUUAGGAUCGUCCCGAUUAAGCAACGAACAAGUAAAAAUAGUAGAAGAAAUUGAGAAGAUGAACACACAAAUUUAACGUGGAAAAACCCCUCAAAAGAGGAUAAAAAACCACGGGCAAAGAUAAAUUUACUAUAAUGGCAAAAGAAUGAAGAGUACAAAAGAUGGAGAUAAAAACUAAACCCCGAAAACCCGAAAAAUAAAGAACCCUCAAACGUAAACACAAAAUUCUCUGAAUGUGUUAUGAGUUCUAAUCUAAUAGGUGUCUCUUUAAUUCUAAGAUUGUAAAGGAGCCUAUUUAUAGGCUAAAUUAGCAAGUCAAAUAAACUAUACUAAUAAAUGCUAAAUAUAUUAUACUAAUAAAUACUAAAUCUUCUAGAAAGAAAAUAUAUUUUUGUUUAACUUGACUUGCAAGCAAUCUCUUAGAAUUUGGGUCACACAAUUCUAACAAUCUCCACCUUGACACAAAUUCUUUCAAUGCCAUCUUUGCCAAAACCCGCCACGGGCCUAUCUUGAACUAUGCAGGGAAUUAACUGAGUCGAAUCUAUACUUAGAAGCUGGAAGACUUCUAGCCUUCGACUUGUGCACUGCCAAAUCAAAACUAACCCGGGUCUGAUUUUCACGAAUACAGUGCCCUAACUUUUCAAAACCUGCAUCCAAAAGAGAACCUCUCUUCAACGAAACGGUCAUACCUUUUCCCCUCCUAUGACCAAGUUGCCUCCGCUUCAAAUGAGUUAACUUUGACUCCGUAACGGACGAGGGACGUCCGAUUUCACCGGUCACUGUAGAACCUUCUAGAAUAUAAAGACUGCCGGUUCUUUUACCUUUUAACAAAACGAGAGCUCCACGAGAUACUUUAAUGUCGCUCGACUCGAUGUUGAUUCUGCAUCCUUUCAAGUCUAAAAUACUCAAGGAGAUGAGAUUCUUUCGUAAAUCAGGUACAUACCUGACAUCUGAGAGUGUCCUAAUCGUCCCAUCGUGUAUCCUAAUUUUAACAGUACCAAUACCGAUUAUUUUACUAGAUGAAUCAUUUCCCAUGUGCACAACUCCACCUUCAACUGAACUGUAUGUGGAGAACCAUUCUCUAUUGGGACACAUGUGGAAAGAACAUCCUGAAUCUAGGAUCCACUCAGACGUAAGCUUGGAGUUAUCGCUCGUUGACACUAACAAGAAAUCAUCACCGCCUUCAUCGACCAAAUUAGCACCAGCUACAUCUUCCUCGUUACUCUCAGCAGCUCUUUUAUUUCGCAGUUUAUAACAAUCUGCUUUGACGUGACCUAACUUUUUGCAAUAGCGACACCUUUUGUCUCGUUUCUUUGAUGCUACCAAAACGGAAACUUGUCUAUCUGCUUUGCUAUUCAAAUCAAACUCAUUGUCGAGUUUGUCUCUACUCAACAAAUUACCCUUCACAUCUUCGAACGAGAGUUUGUCUCUGCCAUAAAUCAGGGUCUCCUUGAAAGACUUGUAUGAAGAGGGUAAAGAGCACAAUAAUAGCAUAGCUUGAUCUUCAUCGUCAAUAUGAACCUCAACGUUCUUUAAAUCAUUUAAAAGAGUAAUGAAUUGACUGAUGUGAUCUUUAAGAAGCUCACAUUCGUUCAUGCGAAACGUAAAUAGACGUUGUUUCAACACUAAACGGUUAGCCAGAGACUUAGUCGCAUAAAGAGUUUCUAACCUUUUCCACAAGGCGAAUGAGGUCUUCUCCAUCAAUACCUCCUGCAAUACUGUAUUCGCGAGGCACAACUGGAUUGCAGACAAGGCCUUUUCAUCAAGCUCUUCCCAUUCUGUUUGAUUUAGAUUCUCAGGCUUUUUCCCUGUAACAACCUUUUUCAAGCCAUUUUGAACUAGAAUUGCCAUCAUCCGAACUUGCCACAGAUUGAAAUUUGUCUCACCAUCGAACUUCUCAAUUUCAAACCUUGUUGCUGCCAUCUCUGAACGGGCUGAUCUAUGAAAGUUAAACUAGCUCUGAUACCACUUGUUAGGAUCGUCCCGAUUAAGCAACGAACAAGUAAAAAUAGUAGAAGAAAUUGAGAAGAUGAACACACAAAUUUAACGUGAAAAAACCCCUCAAAAGAGGAUAAAAAACCACGGGCAAAGAUAAAUUUACUAUAAUGGCAAAAGAAUGAAGAGUACAAAAGAUGGAGAUAAAAACUAAACCCCGAAAACCCGAAAAAUAAAGAACCCUCAAACGUAAACACAAAAUUCUCUGAAUGUGUUAUGAGUUCUAAUCUAAUGGGUGUCUCUUUAAUUCUAAGAUUGUAAAGGAGCCUAUUUAUAGGCUAAAUUAGCAAGUCAAAUAAACUAUACUAAUAAAUGCUAAAUAUAUUAUACUAAUAAAUACUAAAUCUUCUAGAAAGAAAAUAUAUUUUUGUUUAACUUGACUUGCAAGCAAUCUCUUAGAAUUUGGGUCACACAAUUCUAACACAAAGGCUUCAACUUAAGCGUCCUUCACUAAUUCCAGCUACUCAUUGAGGUAGGAGCCACAUCCAGAAAACUCCUACCCUUUAACACAUAUUCACUAACCCAAGCGAUCUAAAGAGAGCCCUCUCCUACAAGCAUGGCACGGAUAAGCUGCAAAAUACAAGUUUUAUUCCAUUCUGCCACAUUUUUUAGUCCCAAGCCCCCUUCAAAUUUAGGUAAACAAAUUGCCUUCUAACAAACACAAGCCCCUUGACUCGAGCCAACCUUCCCUUUCCAAAAGAAGCUAAGACAAUAUUGAUAAACCUCUUAAAAACACUCUUAGGCAUUAGAAAUUUACGACUCCAAUAGGCUUGCACACUAAAGAUCACAACCUUAAUGAGUUGCAGUCUACCGACAUAACUCAAGUGCUUAGUAGACCACCCUUGAAUCCUGUCCAGAAUCCUAUUAGUUAAAGCAGCAAAGUCAAACUGAGACAGCUUUCGAGAAACAAGAGGAACAUAAAAGUACCUCAUUGGUAGCCUACCAACUUUAUAGUCCAUUACAUUCCGGACUCACGAGGACACUAUAUCAAGAUCUUACACAUAUUUUUAACAGUCACUCAAGUACUCAUUCACCAAUACUAGAACAUUAGUCACAAAAGAUAUAUCUACAAAGACUUAGUAGGAGUCGACAUUAAGGACUCACCUAUUACAGUUCCCAGCUCCAGACUCUGUGAUCCAGAUUGAACUAGCAGCAACAACUACUUAAAGAAUAUGAAUUCACCAUUAUAACCAAUACACAGUCAGAUUACUAGCAUAUAUCUACAGAUAAUCCCUAUGCAGGGCUUUUUAUUUAUAACUUGUAAUGAUCUGUUAAAAUCUCUAAUUCAUUGGAUAAAUCUUUGAUUCUUUUGAGUAUCUAUUUGUAAUUUAAUUUGAUAAAAUAAAAUAAAAUUUAAAUUAGAAGAAGAUACAGAUACAUACGAAUGAGGUCAUUUAUAAUUGAAAAUCACAUCAACAGAAUUGGAUCAUACAUUAAGAAUCAUUAUUAGUAAACAACAAUUUAAACAUAACCAGACUUGCUGGAGAGUAGGGGCAGAGUCAGGGGACCGGUAGGGCCUCAGAAAUUCUAGUUGUUCUGGAAGGCACACUCUAUGUCGGUUUCGUUACAUUGAAUCUAGAUAAUCGUUAGAUUUCUAAAGUCCUAUAUUCCGGAGAUGUCUUUGUUUUUCCUGUGGGUCUCAUUCACUUCCACUACAACAUAGGGAACACCUAUGCUGUCGCCUUUGCUGGUCUUAGCAGUGAAAACCCAGAGGUGAUUACUAUCGCAAAUGCAGUAUUUGGCUCAAACCCUUCCAUUAAUGCUGAUAUUGCCAAGGCUUUUAAUCUGGAUAGAAAAAUGGUGAAGAAUCUUCAAUCCGAAUUCUAAUGGGAUAACAAUAGGAGAAAUGUUGCAUUUGUUAUUUAUAGUAUAACAUUAAAUUUUAUUUUAUUUUCUGAAAUAUAAAAUAAAAGAUGUUCUUUGUGGGGCCUCUUCUUAUGUAAACAUGUUUAGCAUAUUAUAAAAUUGAAAAUUCUUUUUAAUUGAAAUCCAUAAAAUAAUUUUAGAUUUCACCCAAAAAUAUUAGAUUAAACAUGAAAACAUCUUUUUUAUUAACCAUUGAAAUUCUAAUUUUAUUCAAAAUUUGUAAUAAUUGAAUUUGGAAAAGAUAAAUUAUAUUUGUGUAUAUAUAAAUAUUUCGAAUCUAUAAUAUUUCAAUUGUAUUUGUCUAAAACUAUUUUUUAUGUUUAUAGCUAGGGAUGAUGUACAUACAACCUAUUGAAGCAAUUAUAAAUUUAUAUAUAACAUAAUUGACGGAAUAAUAUCAUACACGAGUGGGGUAUUUAUUUUUUUAUUAGCUUGGCUCCUUAUUUUCAUUUUGUAAUUUUUAUUAUCCAAAUAUAAAUCUCUGUUAAAAAAUGUUAAGCCAAUCAAUGACGCUUACCACAUAUCAAGAAAAGUUAAAAACAUACUUCAAAAUGUUUUUUUUUUAAAUAUACAUGAGAAAUUAAAAGAAAAUCAUUAAGAAAACCAAAAAAAUCUUAAGAGUUAAAAAAUUAUGAAAAAAAACACUAAAAAUUUCUUAAUCUAUUUUUUAAAAUUAUAAAAGAAAUAUUUUAAAAAAUUAUAAGAAUGCUAAACUUAAAAAAAUUUAAAAAAUUCAUUUUAUUCUAUCAACUUUUUUUUUAACAUUUCUUAAUUGCAGUGUUUGUAAAUGGCAAAUUUUGCAAAGGCCCAAAGCUUGCAGUUGCAGAGGAUUUCUUCUUUUCAGGCCUAAACAGGCCGGGGAACACAUCAAAUCCAGUCGGAUCAAAUGUCACUAUAAUCAAUGUAGAUCAAAUACCAGAACUUAACUCUCUCGGUAUAUCUCUGGUUGGAAUCGACUAUGCACCUUAUGGUGUCAACCCUCCCCCAGUCCCCACACUCACCCUCGGGGAUCCAAGAUCUUGCUUGUUGUCGACGGCACACUUUAUGUCAGCUUCAUUACAGCGAACCCAGACAACCGUCUCUUCACUAAAAUCCUAAACCCUGGAGAUGUUUUUGUUUUCCCCUUUGGUUUGAUUCAUUCCCAGUUCAACAUAGGAAAAACUGCGGCGGUUACCUUUGCUGGUCUCAGCAGCCAAAAUGCUGGGGUUAUCACUAUAGCUAACGCAGUGUUUGGCUCAAACCCACCGAUCAACCCAGAUGUUUUGGCCAAGGCGU